UAUCAUAAAAAGAAGCAAAGAUAAAGUGGGAAACAGAGUGUCUCAAGAGGAAGGAGGUUUUGAGAAGUAGCAGCUUCAGAUGCUAGGCGAUCAGCUAUUGCAUUAACCUCCCGAGAGGUAUGCUGAAAUCUGAUAAAGGAGAAGGAUGUGGCCAGCUGUUGGCAAUCGGAAAUGAGGUUGGAAACUCACCAAGGACAAGAAGACACCAUGCCCUUGAGGAGAUUAAUAGCUAAAAGAUUUUCACUCUCUAUUAUAAUGGAAUGAAAGUUGAGGGAGCAACCCACCAGAAGCGCCUGACGGAUAGCCCAAACUUCAGCAGUGAUUGCAUGGUUGAAUCCGAUACCAGCCUAGAAACAGCAGACAAAGUUACUAUCAGAGUUUUGACAAAUUCCUCCGAUCCCCGCCAAACCCGGAUUUCCUUUGCUCGCACCAUCCACAUUAAACUUCCAUACAUCGUGGGGAGGAGGUUUCCAAGAUACAAAAAUGUUAGAGCAAGUCAGCCUGGGCACAGAGGUAGAGCUCUGAUCUUUGGCAUCCUUGAUAGCCUGUCUAAGCAAUAGGAUUGGAUUAAAGGAUUUUCGAGCAAAGAUCAAGUCCCAAUAGGCGGACCAGAUCCUCCAGAUUACAUUGCACUGAAGUGAAGUUUUUAUAAUGGUAUCCCUGUUGAUAGUCCGAUAGGCUUUGAUGAUGUUGAAAAUACCUGUAGAUAUGGAAGUGCUGUCAAGCUCAAGAUGGAGACCGGCCUGUCUGCCAAAUGGGUGAAAUGUGAGGGCAGUGCAUGAACAGGUGAUUUGCACUUUGCAUCUCAAUGCGACAAAAGGGACAAUAUGGGUCUAAGGAAAAACCUCUGUUAUUCAAGAGAUCUGGUAGAGGGAGUCAGUUAUGCAGAAUCUUCCACAAGAGAUGAUGUAUCUUUGGGGUAGAUGGCAGAUGGCAGAUGCCACAGCUUGAGCCACGGCACGGUGGUGGUGGAUGUCCAAUCCCUAAACCCGUUGACUGCUAUACUGUAGGCCGAGGCGACUGUAAAAGAUCCAUUUGACGUUGCUGCCCAUACAUAUCUAUCUUCAUAGAAGUUGGGCUAGUAGGAAUGGGAAUUGCCAGGAUUCUCCAUACAAUCUCCGGAGACCACCAAAUAAGAAGUAAAUCUCUUCUCCAGGUCUUGGUGUGAGGAUCAAUGAAGGCUGCCACAGUUGAGGAGCACUUUGAGGAAGGGGGUAAGGGGCAGAAGGUGGAAGGCAUUGUGGAAUCCAGAAGUCGCACCAAGGAUUUAUGGAUUGCCCAUUUCCCAGCUGUCUAAAAAUUCCUUUUUUGAGAAGGUCCCUCGCCGAACAUAUUGAUUUCCAGCCCCACGACGCAGUUGACGGUCACUUGGCUUCCAAAAAUGAUGAAUGGGGAAAAUAUUUUUGUUUCAUGAGUCGAGCCCAAAGCGAGGACUAUUGUGGACAUGCGAAGUGCUACCAUUGGACCAAUAGAGUCGAGAGCUUUAUGAACUAAAUGGGGCAGUUCAAAGCAAGACGUGGCGUAUAGCGGUUGUGCAGCAAGAGUUGACUGAAUAAGUACUAACUUUCCCGCUGGGCUCAAAAAUUGCGCCUUCCAGUGUUGCAGACGCUGAGAAACUCUGUUGAUUAAAUCUUCUGUGUGACCUUGAGAGUUUGCGGCUUAUCAAUGGUAUGCCCAGAUAUUUACCAAGAGACUGCGUAGGUGCAAUCUGGAAAAACUCUCUCAACAGUCUUUUGACCUCAGAUGAUACAUUGUUGCUGAAUUGCGCUCGUGUCUUCUGUAUAUUGAUCUUUUGUCCUGAAAAUCAACAAUAAGUAUUAAGGAUGUGGUUCAGGUUCCUGGCCUCAGGCAUUGUGACUUCGCCAAAGAAGAUCAAGUCAUCGGGGAACGCCAUGUGAGUUAACCGCUCACCUCCUUUGCAGAUUUGAAUACCAGAUGUGAAGAAAGCAACUCAGCACACAAGACAAAAACAUAAGGCGACAUUGGAUCACCUUGACGUAACCCCCUAGAGGGUUUGAAAAAAGGGUGAGGCUCCCCAUUAAUCAAUAUGCCAAACUGGGGGGUCUCCACACAAAACAUAACCUUUUUGACCCACCCGUCAUCAAACCCAUAGCUGAGAAGAGUUUUCUUCAAAAAAGACCAUUCAAGCAUAUAAUAUGCCUUGCUCAUGUCCACCUUAAGUGAGAAGAAUCCAGUGCGACCUCUGCGUGUGUUCUUCAGCUUGUGCAUUACUUCAUUAGCAACUAGAAUAUUAUCUUGUAUAUGUCUACCCUUUAUAAAGCCAUUCUGGCUGAAAGAGAUAAUUCUGUUUAGUAUAGGCUUAAGCCUCCCCACAAUGAUUCGGGAAAUCAUUUUGUAAAUAAAAUUACAAAGACUGAUUGGCCGAUAAUCAGUUACUGUGGUGGGAUGAGACACCUUUGGUAUGAGGGCAACAUAAGUGAAAUUGAGAGGAAGAUUGAAUGUACCAGAGCUGAAGAAAUUCAAAAUGCACUCUGUUACCUCAUUGCUGAUGAGCGACCAUGUUUUGUUGUAAAAUACUCCAGGGAAGCCAUCCGGUCCUGGUGACUUAAGGGCUGGCAUGGCCUGAAUUGUAUUCCAUAUUUCUUGGCUGGUUAUAGGAGCAGUGAGCUUGGAGUUAUCAUCCGAUGUAACCCGA
Long non-coding RNA from Macadamia integrifolia, 2656 nucleotides. RefSeq lists it as uncharacterized. The transcript has 2 exons. The record is from RefSeq and is a predicted model, not a curated record. NCBI's taxonomy places the organism in Eukaryota, Viridiplantae, Streptophyta, Magnoliopsida, Proteales, Proteaceae.